Molecule: ribosomal RNA, 243 nt
Filed under: uncultured bacterium
Lineage: Bacteria
Description: partial 16S ribosomal RNA
Rfam family: Bacterial small subunit ribosomal RNA
Source: RNAcentral
GAGUUUGAUCGUGGCUCAGGAUGAACGCUGGCGGCGUGCCUAACACAUGCAAGUCGAGCGAUUCUCUUCGGAGAAGAGCGGCGGACGGGUGAGUAACGCGUGGGUAACCUGCCUCAUACACAUGGAUAACAUACCGAAAGGUAUGCUAAUACAGGAUAACAUAAGAGAUUCGCAUGUUUCUCUUAUCAAAGCUCCGGCGGUAUGAGAUGGACCCGCGUCUGAUUAGCUAGUUGGUAAGGUAAU